Molecule: ribosomal RNA, 428 nt
Filed under: bacterium
Lineage: Bacteria
Description: partial 16S ribosomal RNA
Rfam family: Bacterial small subunit ribosomal RNA
Source: RNAcentral
UAGGGAAUCUUCGGCAAUGGGGGCAACCCUGACCGAGCAACGCCGCGUGAGUGAAGAAGGUUUUCGGAUCGUAAAGCUCUGUUGUAAGUCAAGAACGGGUGUGAGAGUGGAAAGUUCACACUGUGACGGUAGCUUACCAGAAAGGGACGGCUAACUACGUGCCAGCAGCCGCGGUAAUACGUAGGUCCCGAGCGUUGUCCGGAUUUAUUGGGCGUAAAGCGAGCGCAGGCGGUUUGAUAAGUCUGAAGUAAAGGCUGUGGCUCAACCAUAGUUCGCUUUGGAAACUGUCAAACUUGAGUGCAGAAGGGGAGAGUGGAAUUCCAUGUGUAGCGGUGAAAUGCGUAGAUAUAUGGAGGAACACCGGUGGCGAAAGCGGCUCUAUGGUCUGUAACUGACGCUGAGGCUCGAAAGCGUGGGGAGCGAACAGG